UCUCAAUGUUAACGGUGUGACCGUCCUAAGGAUAACGGGGGAGUGUUGGAAACGGCACCGUUAGAGAUCCCGCUCUUCCGGUGUUCGUGUAGUAGCGUGAGAUCCAUUUCCACACCAGCGAUCUCAUUGUCCCCUCUCUCCUCUGGUCUUCAUCCAACAACGAUUCGAAAAUCUAAGCUGAAGAAUUAGGGUUUUGGCUGAUAGAUUUUAUAGCUGCUCAUUGUCUUGUUUCCUCGUUCGUUAAGAAAAGAGGUUCUUUUCGCUUGAUGUGAACUGAACUGUGAAACCAAGAAAGUCUAAGAAUGUCAACAGAGGGAGGCAAUAUUGGUGAAAUUCCAGAGAAUCAUAUGGAGGAUACUUUGAAACCUGCAGAGCAAAAUUUGUCUGAACUGCAUCAUGGGACCAAUGGAAAUCUUCCCUUGGAAGAUGGACUAUGUGGUGGCAGCCCAUAUUCAAGUGAGGAUCGUGAUCAGCUUGAACAAAUGGCCAUGGAAUUAACAUUUCAGAAUGAGUUCUUGAAGUCCCAAUUUCAAGGCGUCAAAAAUUUCCAACUGAUGUCUAAUGUAGCUACUGAACAUAGAGGAAGUGAGCAGGAACGUGCACAAAAACUUCAGGAAAGGAUAGAAUCUUUAAAUAAGCAACUUUUGGAAGAAAAGCAAACACGUAGUGCAGCAGAGGAGGCUUUGAAGCAUCUUCAAACAUUAUACUCAGAGGCAGAUGCAAAAGCCCAAGAACUCUCUGAAAAGCUUGUUGAAGCUGAACAGAAGUUAAAUCAAGAAAUAAAAGACCGUGAAGAGAAGUACUCUGAGCUUGAUUCAAAAUUGAACCGGCUUCUCAAGCGAGCAAAACAUCGUAUUCAAGAGGUUCAAAAGGAAAAAGAUGAACUUGGGGCCCGAUUCCAUGAUGUAAGUGAAACGGCUGAACGAGCAGUAUCCCAGCAAUCAGCAUUGCAGCAGGAGCUUGAGCGCACUAGGCAACAAGCAAAUGAAGCAUUGAAAGCAAUGGAUGCGGAGAGGCAACAAUUAAGAAGUGCAAACAACAAACUCCGAGACAACAUUGAGGAAUUGCGACAUUCAUUACAACCAAAAGAGAGUGCUCUUGAGGCAUUGCAACAAACACUUUUGGAGAAGGAUCAGAUGUUGGAAGAUAUGAAGGGAUUACUGGAGGCUGCUGAGGAGAAAAGGAAAGCAUCAAUUGCUGAACUCUCUGCUAAACAUCAGAAGAACUUGGAAAGUUUGGAAGCCCAGGUUGCUGAUGCUUUAUCUGACAGAAAUAAAGCAACUGAAACUAUUUCUUCACUGCAGGUGCUGGUUGCAGAGAAAGAGUCAAAGAUUGCAGAGAUGGAAGCAGCAUCAAGUGGGGAAGCAGCACGGCAUAGAGCUGCUGCUGAAUCAGUUAAAGGGGAGCUCGCUCAUAUGAAGCAUGAGCAUGAGAAAGAAAAGGAGAGCUGGGAGGCUGCAUUCCAGGCACUCAAAACAAAGCUGGAAAUUUCUGAAAGUAACUGUAUACGUGCUGAAAUUGAAGCAGCUAAAAUGAGAAGCCAGCUGGAAUCAGAAGUAUCUGUGAAAACCCAAAAGUUAAAUGCAAGAGAUGUUGAACUAGCAGCUGCACAACAGGAGAUCAACCGCUUAGAAAGUGAAUUUUCUUCCUACAAAAUCCGUGCACAUGCACUUUUGCAAAAGAAGGAUGCGGAACUAGCUGCAGCUAAAGACUCUGAGCAAGUGAAAGCUCUUGAGGAAGCACUUAAAGAAGCUGAAAAGGAAGCAACAUUAGCAUAUGCUGAAAAGGAGAGAGCCCUUCAAGAGCUUCAGGAUGCUUUGGCUAAUCAUGAUAAAGAACUUGCCGAAAGAGAUGCAGUUAUUAGCAAUGCCAACCAGCAGAUCAAGAGCUUAGAAACAAAGCUUGAUUCUGUUAAUAGACGCCAUUUAUCAGAUAAAGAAGCAUGGGAAGUGAACCUUCAUAACUUGGAAGAAACAUGGCGAUUAAGAUGUGAUGCAUUAAGAGCUCAAAAUGAAGCAUCUUCUGGUGAAGAUCUACGAAAAGAAUUAGAGGAGCUCAAAUUACGGUACAAGAAAUUGAAGGAUGAGCAUGCUUCAUUUCGUGAUCUUGCUGAUAGGAUGAUUGAGGAGAAGGACAGAGAAAUUUCUAGACUUGUGGACGAUAAUAAGAAUCUCCAAAGACAUUUGGAAUCAAGACCACCGGCUGAUCAGAAUGAUAAUUACAACACAGGCAUGCAGAAACAGGAUGCAUCUUUAAGUGCCUCUGCAGCAGAACAACAGAUCCUGCUGUUGGCAAGGCAACAAGCCCAGAGAGAGGAGGAGCUAGCACAGUCACAGCGGCAUAUUCUAGCACUUCAAGAAGAAAUCGAAGAGCUAGAGCGUGAGAACCGUCUCCAUAGCCAACAGGAAGCCAUGUUGAAGGCUGAGCUUCGCAACAUGGAAAGAUCACAGAAGAGGGAAGGGGUAGAUAUGACAUAUUUGAAAAAUGUUGUAUUAAAGCUUUUGGAAACAGGUGAAGUGGAGGCUUUACUACCUGUAAUUGGAAUGCUUCUUCAAUUUAGUCCUGAAGAGAUCCAGAAGUGUCAACAAGCCUACCGUACAUCUGCUGCUGAUGUUCCCAGCCCAUCUGGUGAUGGUUCAGGAUCUGCUCGCUCACUCUUCUCAAGAUUCUCAUUUUCAUAAGCAAAAGGACAUUAUGUAGAGAAUUCUUUGUCGCUAUGAGAACUGCGAGCAACUGUAAUUCCGCUGUGGCGAUAGAUAUUGGCACUGUGACUCCAGAUUCAAAAGCAGAGAAUCGAAAAGGAUAUUCAUCAAUCAUUUUCGCGGUCCAAAAUGUGGUCUAUACAUGGUUGGUGGACUGGUGUUGGUUCGGCGUCAAAGUUGAAAUGUUCAAACUUUUACUCCAUAACAUAAUAUUGUUCAUCAUUUUCCAUCAUCUAUAUACAAUAUUAUUCUUUUUAUUUAUUUAUUUCUUAAGUAAUUGGAUCAAGAUUCAAGAUAACCGUAAUUACAAUUUGCCUGUGACCAAAAUAGAUCUAUCUAUAUUCUAUUGAAGUUAAUAGUUCCUCCUCGGAUUUAUCCAUGACCUUUUGAUCUUUAAGGAUCCACACCCAUGUCCGUGAAAAAAAGUCAUAGUCCCACCUGACACCCCCCUCAAAUUCAAUGGGUUGGGGACUGGCAACGAGACCGUGAGGGAUGAUGUUAGCCGACAUACCUCUUUUGAGGGUGAGGCUGGGUUUGGCAUUAACAUAUCAGAACGAAGUUCACUGUGGAAAUGGACCAAUUACCGAAUCAAAAAGUCGCUGAACAUAUUGUAACACGAUUUCUUUUUUAAGCCCUUUUAAGGUAAAUUACAAUUUUAUUUCGUACUUUCCAUAAUUAAAAACACACGUAGAAUUGAGAUUUGUGUCUUCUAAUUGGAAAGAAAAAAACAAAUAAUAGUGAGGAAAUUGAGCCAUUCAUUUACUAAUAUAUGAGGAAGUUUUGUCCUAAUGACUAAACUUGCAUAAUAUUAACUUCAACUCAAUUUAUGAAAAUUGCGCAAGUGAUUACUGCUCACUUGUAUCGAACAACAAUCAUUCCCCAAGAAAAGAAAAAGAGGAAAAAUAGAAUAAGCAAAACAAACCCAUUAAAAAAACCAAAAAAAAAAAGGCAAAAAAGCUGCAAACUCUAGUAGAAUAUAGAGAGGGCAGAGGCAAAUUGGCAGAGUAGCGUGAUUCAAAUUCAAGCAUGCCUGGCCUGGAAAUCUUUCAUGAAAGCAA
Molecule: RNA transcript, 3760 nt
Organism: Ziziphus jujuba (common jujube)
Lineage: Eukaryota; Viridiplantae; Streptophyta; Magnoliopsida; Rosales; Rhamnaceae
Gene name: protein GRIP
Exons: 23
Source: RefSeq, a predicted model, not a curated record